ACGCUGGCGGCGUGCCUAAUACAUGCAAGUAGAACGCUGAAGGAGGAGCUUGCUCCUCCGGAUGAGUUGCGAACGGGUGAGUAACGCGUAGGUAACCUGCCUGGUAGCGGGGGAUAACUAUUGGAAACGAUAGCUAAUACCGCAUAAGAGUAGAUGUUGCAUGACAUUUGCUUAAAAGGUGCAAUUGCAUCACUACCAGAUGGACCUGCGUUGUAUUAGCUAGUUGGUGGGGUAACGGCUCACCAAGGCGACGAUACAUAGCCGACCUGAGGGGGUGAUCGGCCACACUGGGACUGAGACACGGCCCAGACUCCUACGGGAGGCAGCAGUAGGGAAUCUUCGGCAAUGGACGGAAGUCUGACCGAGCAACGCCGCGUGAGUGAAGAAGGUUUUCGGAUCGUAAAGCUCUGUUGUAAGAGAAGAACGAGUGUGAGAGUGGAAAGUUCACACUGUGACGGUAUCUUACCAGAAAGGGACGGCUAACUACGUGCCAGCAGCCGCGGUAAUACGUAGGUCCCGAGCGUUGUCCGGAUUUAUUGGGCGUAAAGCGAGCGCAGGCGGUUAGAUAAGUCUGAAGUUAAAGGCUGUGGCUUAACCAUAGUACGCUUUGGAAACUGUUUAACUUGAGUGCAAGAGGGGAGAGUGGAAUUCCAUGUGUAGCGGUGAAAUGCGUAGAUAUAUGGAGGAACACCGGUGGCGAAAGCGGCUCUCUGGCUUGUAACUGACGCUGAGGCUCGAAAGCGUGGGGAGCAAACAGGUUUAGAUACCCUGGUAGUCCACGCCGUAAACGAUGAGUGCUAGGUGUUAGACCCUUUCCGGGGUUUAGUGCCGCAGCUAACGCAUUAAGCACUCCGCCUGGGGAGUACGACCGCAAGGUUGAAACUCAAAGGAAUUGACGGGGGCCCGCACA
Molecule: ribosomal RNA, 910 nt
Filed under: uncultured bacterium
Lineage: Bacteria
Description: bacterial SSU rRNA
Rfam family: Bacterial small subunit ribosomal RNA
Source: RNAcentral